This is a long non-coding RNA of Oncorhynchus tshawytscha (Chinook salmon), 1551 nucleotides long. RefSeq lists it as uncharacterized. Lineage: Eukaryota; Metazoa; Chordata; Actinopteri; Salmoniformes; Salmonidae. The record is from RefSeq and is a predicted model, not a curated record. The transcript is spliced from 3 exons.
AAAGGAAGCAUCACACUGUUGCAUUGGGCGCAUGUAACAAACCAAAUGUGAUUUGAUUAGCGCUAUUAUUUUGUUGUCAAUAACUUGCUGAUAAGAACUUACUCUCUUAUCAGCUCUUGGACUUUGGUAACCCUUGCACCUACAGCUGUGUGAAUGGUACUGUUAAUCAACUUAAGAACUCUAAAAACAAACCCUAUAGAAAUUGAAGUAGUGUAUUUCUUCACGCAACACUAAGUGACCAGGUAAACUGUAGCUUGCUACUAUAACUCCAGAGAAACUAGACUUUUGGCACUUCGCAGUGCUCUACUCCAAAGCGACCAUUUUGGGUCUGUGUGUGUGUCUCUCUGUGUGUCUCUGUGUGUCUCUGCGCCUUCGAGAGGAAGUGGUGCAACUCAUUUCCUGCAGCCCCCCGAAUACACACAGCGAGAAGAGGGGCAAAGCAGCAGCAGCAGCAACAUAAAAAAAAAAUCAAAAAAAGGUUUGCGAGUGAAGGAAAUGGCUGAUCGCACAGGACAAAUGGCUCUCCUUGUAAAAGCGACAAAAAAUGCAUUGAAUUUCUUUUAGCCUUUUUUUUUUUUUUUUUACAGCCGGUUUCCAUUUCCACUUUACAUGUUAUGAGGGAACCAGCCCAUAGAAGACAGAACAGUGGAUGGAAGAGCGCGAGAGAGAGUGAAGUGGACGGAGGCUAAGAUACAGGGGCUGGUCAACAGUGUCAGAACAUAUCAAAUCCAGGCAGACUCCUGCUCCUUGGCCUGCCAAUCUGAACGACAACCUCCCCACCACACACACACACACACACACACACACACACUGCUCCGAGCAUCUUCAGUAAUGCCAACAGGGUCCCAGCCAGCUGCCAGCCCCUCUCCCAGCCUGCCCCUGUUUGCCCAGCCCUGAGCCCUGAGCCCUAACCACAAACUGGCCCCGUGGCUCUAGGAACCCCCCCCAGUGCAGCUGUCCUCCACACAGCCAGGUGGCGCCCUGACCCACCGCUGGACAGGCAGCGCUACUAACAGGUAAUACAAUGUAGAUUAGAUUACUUUACCUCACCUAGACUACAUCCUGGCUCUGUUUAGUCCACUACUGUUAGUAACAUUACCUCACCUAGACUACAUCCUGGCUCUGUUUAGUCCACUACUGUUAGUAACAUUACCUCACCUAGACUACAUCCUGGCUCUGUUUAGUCCACUACUGUUAGUAACAUUACCUCACCUAGACUACAUCUGGAAUGGCUCUGUUUAGUCCACUACUGUUAGUAACAUUACCUCACCUAGACUACAUCUGGAAUGGCUCUGUUUAGUCCACUACUGUUAGUAACAUUACCUCACCUAGACUACAUCCUGGCUCUGUUUAGUCCACUACUGUUAGUAACAUUACCUCACCUAGACUACAUCUGGAAUGGCUCUGUUUAGUCCACUACUGUUAGUAACAUUACCUCACCUAGACUACAUCUGGAAUGGCUCUGUUUAGUCCACUACUGUUAGUAACAUUACCUCACCUAGACUACAUCCUGGCUCUGUUUAGUCCACUACUGUUAGUAACAUUACCUCA